This is a non-coding RNA of Salmo salar (Atlantic salmon), 54 nucleotides long. The record is from Rfam. Lineage: Eukaryota; Metazoa; Chordata; Actinopteri; Salmoniformes; Salmonidae.
UGUAUUCACUACUAUAAUUCGCUCUGGAUAAGAGUGUCUGCUAAAUGACGUAAA